ACAGCAGUCGCCGCGGGAAUACGGAGGGGGCUAGCGUUGUUCGGAAUUACUGGGCGUAAAGCGCACGUAGGCUGCUUUGUAAGUUAGAGGUGAAAGCCUGGUGCUCAACACCAGAACUGCCUUUAAGACUGCAGAGCUAGAACGUCGGAGAGGUGAGUGGAAUUCCGAGUGUAGAGGUGAAAUUCGUAGAUAUUCGGAAGAACACCAGUGGCGAAGGCGGCUCACUGGACGACUGUUGACGCUGAGGUGCGAAAGCGUGGGGAGCAAACAGGAUUAGAUACCCCGGUAGUCCCUGUCUCUUAUAC
Molecule: ribosomal RNA, 305 nt
Filed under: uncultured bacterium
Lineage: Bacteria
Description: partial 16S ribosomal RNA
Rfam family: Bacterial small subunit ribosomal RNA
Source: RNAcentral